This is a long non-coding RNA of Pseudopipra pipra, 4948 nucleotides long. RefSeq lists it as uncharacterized. Lineage: Eukaryota; Metazoa; Chordata; Aves; Passeriformes; Pipridae. The transcript has 11 exons. The record is from RefSeq and is a predicted model, not a curated record.
CUUGAAAUCUUAUAAUUCUGUUGUGUUCAGUGCAUGAAAAAAAGCUGGCUAUACAACAAGAAGAAAACCAUUAUAUUAUUUUGCUUUUUGUUAGGGAAAUAACAUAUUAUGGAUAGGCGCUCUGCUUCUGCUGAAAAUGUUUGUUCACCUCUUGGAUAUGAUCCUCAUACUACCUGUCUUCCAGCUGUCAGUUCAUGAUUCAGGCAGGAGCUUGCAGGGAUAUGUGCGUUGGCUGGAGGGGAUGUCUGGAGGAGCUGGGAAGCAACCAGAUGACUGACAGCGAUUCAGGCGAGACUCGACAUGGAGGGGACAGGCGAACAGACCUGCUUCUUCCUUUGUGUUGCCAGUCAGGUCCUCCCUCUGCAGUCUUACACAGGAAGAAGAUUUAUAACAGCUGCAUGCAAUGCCAGUGUCUCAAAGAGACAGUAUCACGCCAUGUGGAGGAUUUUCAUAUGGGGUUUAACUUUGCUCCACUGAAUUGGAAAGUUGUAUGUAGAUUUCUCUAACGGAAUAGAGAGCUUUCACUCCAGAUGGAAUAAUCAGGUACAUGUGACUCCGGAGGGGACUGAAUCAACCAAAAGAGAAAUGGCCUAAAUGCUUGCUUUAACGAAAAUACAGAGUUAACCACAACAGCAGAGUAUUUGAGAGCACUUUAAUGGUUGCCUAGCAAAAGCCUGUACAACUUGAGAAAAGGGUAAAGGCCUUAAAAAGCCUGUCUGAAGGAGGUGAUGAAACAGAGGAGAGACAUGGACGAUGGAACAGUAGAAAGAGAUGCAACAGGCUCAUAAAGACGAAAACCAGUAUCUGCCAAAGGGAAAUAUUUGAGGUCCAGCAUCCCAACCAUUAAUUCCAGGAAACACGACCCACCGAACAACCCAAAGUACUUUCAGGAAGAACACGUGGAACUGCUCCAGGGACCAACCCAAACCUGAUCUCAGAAGAUUGGUUGCCAGAUCCAUUUAAAGUUUCUGCGUGCAAGUAAGGAUAAACAGUGAAGAUGGAUGCCACUCCCUGUUAUUCGCAGAAGACAGGAUGCCAUCAGGGAAGAAAGAGCUCACUAGAGAUAUAUGCACUUACAUGUGAAUAAACUUAAGCCAGAUGUAUUUUUAAGGUCCCAGGUGACCAAAUGAUGGGAAACAUGAUCUUAUCUCUGUGAAAGGAGGAUCCAGGGAACUACAGGCCUGUCGGCCUGACCUCAGUGCCAGGGAAAGUCGUGGAGCAGAUUAUCCUGAGUGCCAUCAUGCAAGAUGUGCAGGACAAUCAGGGGAUCAGGCCCCUCCAGCAUGGGUUUAGGAAAGGCAACUAAAGACACACGUGAGGAAAAUGAACAGUCCAAGAUCAUUUUUCAGUAAGGCAAUAUAUGUAUUAUUGUUUGAAAUUCAUGCCUCAAACUAUAUGUAGAAGUCAUCAUCAUUGUAGAAGACAAAUAUCCUUGACCAUGAAGGAAAGAUUUAAUCUCCAAAAUGUAUGGGGUUUUUGUCCUAAAUCAGAUGUCAGCUGCAGUUCUUCUUAUUUACCCAUUGUCCAUUAGUUCCUAGUAAUUCAGUCUGUAUGAAAUCAUUUUCUUUGAAGUCUGUUGCCAACUCAUUAAAUGUUCUAAACUUUCCAGUACAUGGAUUUAUGAGCAAUUAAGAAUUUCUCAGACUCAGUAGUCAGGAAAUAUAGCUCAUUAUCUGUUGCAAAGGCAUUUGGCCAAUUUAAGGAGAUUCUUCAAUUGAAAAAAUGUUGUUUCCUAACAGUGUUACCCAGUUUCUUGCUUUUCAGAUAUUUUGUCCCAAACAUUUUUUUUCACACCCUACAAUGUCUCUAAUGUGAACAGCUCUUCCAUUGAAAAAAAUUGCUAUAUUUUACCUAGCUGUUUUCAAACGGUAAAUUUACUGAGCUUGUCUAAUGGCUCUGAUAUAAUGGGUGAAAAAACUCCAUUGUCUGAGUGCAGGUCUUGAGACAUAUAUUCAGACAAAUGUUUUACCUUAUUGCCCUUUUCUCCUUAUUCCUGGCAAUAUAUACACAGUAUGUUUGUGUUAACGUAUUUUCUCCAAAAUCCAAGGUCCUGCAGUUCCUUCUGCCAACUCUGCCAUUUAUUCGAAAUCUCUAUCCUUAAAUGGCAAUUUUCAUAGACCUACAGGAAAUGUAUCUGAGUGUGUCACUAUAUAAAGUUAGAUUUUCUGAACCUUUCAUCUUCUACCCCUUGGAUAAUUUUCCUACUUGUGUUAAAGUAGCGUCAUUUCUGUUGAAAGACUGCUCUUUUUGAAAUUUGUCACCAGGUGGUUCUCUAAACUUUAUUAGCACUUUCUAGCAGUACCUUUUAUUUACUGGACAAUUCUUCAAUGCUUUGAGUUGCUGGUGGUGUUAGCAAAGCAAUCACACAAGCAGUUUUGAAAGAUCUAUUAUCUGGGUGCAAUUUUUUGUGAAUGGACUUGCUGCUCAGAUUAUGUUCAAUGCUGUUUGUAAAAGCAUCACAAAAAAACAGUGUCUGAGUUAAGACCUGUACAAAACCAUUUAAGUAAUGCUAGAGUCCAGCCAGGGCCAGCUCUCAGCAAUCUGAUAUGAGCAAAAGAUGAAGUCAUGGUGCAGAGCAAAUCACACGUGCUACUUGGUCAUGCACAAAUCUCAGUAACGUCAUUCAUGUACAGAAGUGUUUGCAGUUUCAAAUCCGAUUCAUGGUGAAAGUAUUUACUAUGCUUAUCCUCAGUUCUAGGUAAAAAUCUCAGAUAUCUUUAGGAAAAAAAACUGAACCCCCCCCAACUUCUCCUUGGCUUAAAACAAAUCACAAUUAACCAAUUUGUUAAACUGUUUUCUUCAGUGCUUCCUGAACAGAAUUUCUGGUUCUUUGUAACCCUUAAACUACUGCCUGCCUGAAUCUUCUUUAGAAGGUUGGUGAAAAGUGUCAUCGUAUGUAUUUCCAGAAUGUGUUUUAAACUGUUGACUAGUACCUACACUUUAACUUUUUCCAACACCAUGCAAGACCACCUUAGGCUUCCCCAAAUCUACAGAUAUCUGUAUGCAAGAUGUAGCUAUAACCUCUUACUAAAAGCCAUCAAAUUUUUAAUUUCAUCAGAGUUGCAUUGUGCACAGGUAGCUAAUCACUAUUAAAUUAAUAAAUAAAUAAAGAGAGGAAAAUAAAAUACAUUUAGUUUAUUUAUAGACAAAUGUCCAAAACAAAAAAGGAAAAAAAAAGAUUUCAUGGUUUAUUUUCCUUCUCUGACAAGGAGCCUGCCUUCUGUCACAAACAGCUCCUACUUCUAAAGGCUAUUGAUAGGCAAUAUUAACAGCAUUUUACCACUCUUCUUGAUAGUAUUGUCAUACAUAUAUCAUAUAUACAUACUGACAUAUCAUCUAGAUGUAUAUGAGUAUAGAUGAAUGUAUGCAUAUGAAAUAUGUACACAUACAUGUUUAUAUAUGUACAUAUAUAUACAGAAAUUCAGGUACUUCAAAUGAUAAUGAAUGGUUUCCCAGGCCUCUGCAGUAUGCAUAGUAUAGGGUACAACCACCAGUUUUUAAGUAUUUCAAUUCUAGCGAAAAUAAUAUUCUGUAUGUAAAAUACUCUCCUUCAAGGUAGAUUUUCUUAACAGUCCUUUUCACCCAAAACUGCUUGCCUCACAGUAAGAUCUUUCAGUUUCAGUUCAGAUUAAAGAAAUGAACCAAUGAGAGAAGAAACAAAAUGCAGAAUAGCCCAUCUCUUUGUGUAAAACAUAUACAACACACAAACACUGUCAACAGCCUGGCGUCCUGUCCCAGACAUUUCUAGCAACAUGUAUUAAUAAAAAGCCUCUGUAUGCAAUGACAGCACCUUGUUAAAGCUCCAACAUCAAUCAUGUUUUUAAAGGAAUUUUGUUUUGCAUGUCCCUAAUUGAAUCCGUUGAAAAUAUACCAGAGAGGUGAGACACAUUCUUUGAUUCUUUUCUCCUCUGGCUCUUUAAUUACCCUUCCCUGAAAGGAACAGACAUUGAAUAAUAGAAAGACUAUUACAGGAAAGUUUCAAUAGAACACUGAAAUAUCUCACUACUGAGAUUUUUAAGGGAUAAUAUUUUUACUUAAAUUAUCUUGGAUAGACACAACUUUGGAGAGUGAAAAGGUAAAACCACUGGCAGAGCAGCUGCCUGUUUGAUGUCAGGUGCAAGCUUGAGAAUUACCCACAUGGCCCUGCCUGCAGAAGAAAAUGUACUCUGACAAGUGGAGGUCAGAUAAAACAGUUCCUCUUCUCAGCCCUCUGUUGGGCCUCUCACUUAUUUUACAAUUUUUCUCUCCUACCAUGACUGUCUUAAUUGUGACACUUUUGAUGCAUAUGAAGAAAAAAUGGCCCAAAUUGGCUCUGACUGCUGCACUCCAAAGGGGUCAGUAUACUGGAACUUGAUUUUUUCAGAGAAAGCUUCAGCCUUUGCUGCACAAAUCAAAAUUUAGCUAAGAAAUUUAGGGUUUUCAUUUCAAUUAAGCAAGAGUGCAGCACUCUGAAAACCAUGUUCACUGCAUAUUAGCACAUAAGUAACAUAAUUAUUUCAAUACCUUCAAAAGAAUAAUAUAGCAAUUUUGUUCAUCAGUCUGCCGCUGUAUCCUGUACCUUUGGUGAUCUGUUGAACUUUUGGCUUUAUCACAUAUGCAUUGCUAAACCCCCUUGAAUAGUUACACAGUACAGUUAUUUUAAGUAAAAUAGAUUUGUCACCAUUCUCUCACUCUCCUUGCUGUUACCUAACAAUGGCAGGUGUGCAAAGGCAAGAAACUGCUACAAGCCCCACUUUGGCUCCACACAGAACACAUGGAAUGAAAACUGAGAGAUGGAGCCAGAUGCCGCAGAGAGCUCAGGAUUUUUCAGAUGUGCAAAACCCCUAAGAGGAAGUGAACUCCCGGUUAUUUCUCAGCAAGAUACUCCAGCAAGGGACACGUGAAAAUCAUUGAAAAAUCUUAUUUCUUCUACACUCUUUCUAUAUUAAAAUCUGUUUAAAUCUGAAAA